This 20-nucleotide non-coding RNA is filed under the name Rattus norvegicus (Norway rat). The record is from RNAcentral. Lineage: Eukaryota; Metazoa; Chordata; Mammalia; Rodentia; Muridae.
UGAAGUGUCAACACAGGCUG